ACUUGUAGCAAACAUCCGUCCAUGUAAACAUUCGCAUAAAUUUAAAAAGAACCAUGCGCCAUCAAAUCCGUUAAAUAAAAUCCUAGUGGCAGUCAGAGAGUAUGGCAGCUUGUUUGAAGUACCUCCUGAUGUUCUCAUUCAGUGUGGCAUCAAUAAAAAAAAUUGUGAACCCUUUCUGUUUUGGGUUGUCGGGUGUGAAACAAGUAUAAGGCAGUAGAAAACAUAAUCAAUGGAUUCACAGAAAUAGAAUUUGAAUAAAGAUAAAAUUUUACAUUCUAUUCAUAUUUAAAAGAACUAAGUGUUGAACUAGAACUUAUGACCUUUUGCCGAUUGCUGAAAAGUAAAUUUACAACAAAAAUUGAUGAAAAUAACAUAAAAAUCAAACUGUAAAUUGGUCAUGUCAUGACAAGUUUUUCAAACU
This is a long non-coding RNA of Papilio xuthus (Asian swallowtail), 421 nucleotides long. RefSeq lists it as uncharacterized. The record is from RefSeq and is a predicted model, not a curated record. The transcript is spliced from 4 exons. NCBI's taxonomy places the organism in Eukaryota, Metazoa, Arthropoda, Insecta, Lepidoptera, Papilionidae.